AAGUUAAGCCAUGCACGUCUAAGUACUAACAAGCUAAAGUGAAACCGCGAAUGGCUCAUUACAACAUACACAAUCUAUUGAAUGUUAAAUUAGUUGGAUAACUGAGGUAAUUCUUGAGCUAAUACAUAUUGCAAAUUCUCAACUCACGAAGAGAAGCAUUCGUUAGCUAAAGAUCAAACUCACUUGUGAGUUUAUUAGUGACUCAGAACGAAAUAUCUGAUUAUAUUGGCUUGUCCAGAUAACAAGUUCAAUGAGAGUAUGACCUAUCAACUGUCGACUGUGGUGUAUUUGAUCACAGUGGUGUUAACGGGUAACGGGAGAANUCUGGGUUCGAUUCCGGAGAGGGAGCCUUAGAAACGGCUACCACAUCCAAGGAAGGCAGCAGGCACGCAAAUUACCCCUUUACCGAAGGUAGAGGUAGUGACGAAAAAUAACAAUGCAACACUCUUCCGAGGCGUUGCAAUUGGAAUGAGGUUACUCUAAACCUGUAUUCAAGGAACAAUUGGAGGGCAAGUCUGGUGCCAGCAGCCGCGGUAAUUCCAGCUCCAAUAGUGUAUAUUAAUGUUGUUGUGGUUAAAAAGCUCGUAGUUGGAUAUCAUCAGUAAGUUUUCUGUUCAACUUGUGUUGUAAUAGGAAGUCUGACUGUCUGUCUGUUCAUUCUUAUCGGUGACUUUAAUCAGUUGUCGUUCUAAAGGAAGAACAAUUUUACUUUGAAAAAAUUAGGGUGCUCAAAGCAAGUUUAUCGCUUGAAUAGUUGUGCAUGGAAUAAUAGAAAAGGAAUUUCAUCUUUUUGGGUGGUCUUAAAGAUAAAGUUAAUGAUAAUGGGGNACAGCCNGGGGCGUAUGUGAUUUCAGCCGACAAGAGUGGAAAUUCUUGGGACC
RNAcentral lists this ribosomal RNA (881 nucleotides) under uncultured eukaryote. RNAcentral describes it as "bacterial SSU rRNA". It matches the Rfam family "Eukaryotic small subunit ribosomal RNA", at positions 40 to 927 of the family's 1831-position model. The record is from RNAcentral.